This 63-nucleotide transfer RNA is filed under the name Geogenia zaloumisi. RNAcentral's name for it is "partial tRNA-Ser". Lineage: Eukaryota; Metazoa; Annelida; Clitellata; Crassiclitellata; Microchaetidae. The record is from RNAcentral.
GGCCAGGUGUUUUGGAAACAAUAGAUUUUGAACAUCUACUACAGAUGUUCGAUUCAUCUCCAG